This 505-nucleotide ribosomal RNA is filed under the name uncultured bacterium. RNAcentral's name for it is "bacterial SSU rRNA". It matches the Rfam family "Bacterial small subunit ribosomal RNA", at positions 29 to 523 of the family's 1533-position model. The record is from RNAcentral.
AGUGAACGCUGGCGGCAGGCCUAAUACAUGCAAGUCGAACGGCAGCACAGCAGAGCUUGCUCUGUGGGUGGCGAGUGGCGGACGGGUGAGGAAUACAUGGGAAUCUGCCCAGUCGUGGGGGAUAACGUAGGGAAACUUACGCUAAUACCGCAUGCGCCCUUCGGGGGAAAGCCGGGGACCUUCGGGCCUGGCGCGAUUGGAUGAGCCCAUGUCGGAUUAGCUAGUUGGCGGGGUAAUGGCCCACCAAGGCGACGAUCCGUAGCUGGUCUGAGAGGAUGAUCAGCCACACUGGAACUGAGACACGGUCCAGACUCCUACGGGAGGCAGCAGUAGGGAAUAUUGGACAAUGGGCGCAAGCCUGAUCCAGCCAUGCCGCGUGAGUGAAGAAGGCCCUCGGGUUGUAAAGCUCUUUUGUCCGGAAGAAAAGCGCCGGGUUAAUACCCUAGUGUCCUGACGGUACCGGAAGAAUAAGCACCGGCUAACUUCGUGCCAGCAGCCGCGGUAA